RNAcentral lists this ribosomal RNA (467 nucleotides) under uncultured bacterium. RNAcentral's name for it is "partial 16S ribosomal RNA". It matches the Rfam family "Bacterial small subunit ribosomal RNA", at positions 28 to 506 of the family's 1533-position model. The record is from RNAcentral.
GACGAACGCUGGCGGCGUGCUUAACACAUGCAAGUCGAACGGAAAGGCCCUGCUUUUGUGGGGUGCUCGAGUGGCGAACGGGUGAGUAACACGUGAGUAACCUGCCCUUGACUUUGGGAUAACUUCAGGAAACUGGGGCUAAUACCGGAUAGGAGCUCCUGCUGCAUGGUGGGGGUUGGAAAGUUUCGGCGGUUGGGGAUGGACUCGCGGCUUAUCAGCUUGUUGGUGGGGUAGUGGCUUACCAAGGCUUUGACGGGUAGCCGGCCUGAGAGGGUGACCGGCCACAUUGGGACUGAGAUACGGCCCAGACUCCUAGGGGAGGAAGAAGUGGGGAAUAUUGCACAAUGGGCGGAAGCCGGAUGCAGCAACGCCGCGUGCGGGAUGACGGCCUUCGGGUUGUAAACCGCUUUCGCCUGUGACGAAGCGUGAGUGACGGUAAUGGGUAAAGAAGCACCGGCUAACUACGU